RNAcentral lists this non-coding RNA (24 nucleotides) under Arabidopsis thaliana (thale cress). Lineage: Eukaryota; Viridiplantae; Streptophyta; Magnoliopsida; Brassicales; Brassicaceae. The record is from RNAcentral.
UAUGUCUACGCUGGUUCAAAUCCA